UAGAGAGCACCUGUCUUCCUUUUUUUUGGCCUGUCAGAGGCUGGGUCGUAGCACUUCCUGGCAUUCCCCCAGUUCCGUCCCGGCGUGGUGGUAGAGGCCAUUGGGGGUGCGCUAUGCUCCACUGAUUGCUCGCUGCGGGUUGUUUCUGUGCGGCGUCUAUUCCUCUCCUCCAAGCUGUGUCGUCCAGGACUGCCUGAUUGAGGGAAGUAUAACCCAGCUGCUGCGCAGUGUCGGCCGAUCAUUGAGGGAAACCACU
Long non-coding RNA from Scatophagus argus, 256 nucleotides. RefSeq lists it as uncharacterized. The transcript has 3 exons. The record is from RefSeq and is a predicted model, not a curated record. Lineage: Eukaryota; Metazoa; Chordata; Actinopteri; Scatophagidae.